AUGCCGCCCGCGCAUCUGACGCCCUCGGCUACGCCAGAAGACAUCACCUGUCUGGUGCCUGCCGGCUCGGUCCUGACCUCAAGGGAUCCCUUGCCACCUAGCACUACCCCCGGCAGCCAAGCCAACAGCUCGCAGUCCGGCAGCUCGCAAACGGAUAAAUCACCGAACAUCGAGUGCGUCGUCUGCGGAGAUAAAAGCAGCGGCAAACAUUACGGACAAUUCACUUGCGAAGGAUGCAAGAGUUUUUUCAAGAGGAGUGUGAGGCGAAACCUAACGUACUCGUGUCGAGGGACUAGAAAUUGUCCGAUCGACCAACACCAUAGAAACCAGUGCCAGUUUUGCCGUUUGAAAAAGUGCCUGAAGAUGGGCAUGCGCCGGGAAGCUGUGCAAAGGGGGCGAGUGCCGCCGUCGCAACCUUCAUUGCCGGGUUUGCCGGGCCAAUUCGCCCUGACGAACGGGGACGCGGUCGCGUGUGCCAGCCUAAACGGACACUCUUACCUCUCGUCGUACAUAAGCUUGCUGCUGAGGGCGGAGCCCUAUCCAACCUCGAGAUACGGCCAAUGCAUGCAACCCAACAACAUCAUGGGCAUCGACAAUAUCUGCGAGCUCGCAGCGCGGCUGCUCUUCUCGGCAGUAGAGUGGGCUCGGAACAUCCCGUUCUUCCCGGAUCUUCAAGUGACGGACCAGGUGGCCCUGCUAAGGCUAGUGUGGAGCGAGCUGUUUGUCCUGAACGCGAGCCAAUGCUCAAUGCCCCUCCACGUGGCGCCGCUUCUAGCGGCGGCAGGUCUUCACGCCUCGCCGAUGGCAGCGGAUCGCGUGGUCGCCUUCAUGGAUCACAUCAGGAUCUUCCAGGAGCAAGUGGAGAAACUCAAGGCGCUUCACGUCGACUCCGCAGAGUACAGCUGCCUCAAGGCCAUCGUCCUCUUCACCACUGACGCCUGCGGACUCUCGGACGUGGCGCACAUCGAAUCCCUUCAGGAAAAAUCGCAGUGCGCCCUGGAGGAAUACUGUCGGACCCAAUACCCGAAUCAACCGACAAGGUUUGGCAAGCUGCUGCUGCGAUUACCGUCGUUACGCACAGUUUCGUCGCAGGUGAUCGAACAGCUCUUCUUCGUGCGGCUAGUAGGCAAGACGCCGAUCGAGACGCUCAUCAGGGACAUGUUGCUGAGCGGCAACAGCUUCAACUGGCCCUACAUAUCCACGAUGUGACACUCUGUCUGGCGGCAGCUAGCUUCCGCAUAAUAUUAUACCUCGAACAGCGAUGUCGCGGCGCCUGAUAAUGACCCGCGAACUCGAUUCGCGUAAGAGUAGAAAAGAAUCGGGCGCGGCGAGGGUGGGCGACACCGCGAAUCUCGAAUAUACUUGAUACGAAGGGCGAGGACGGCGAACAAUAGGGCGCGAUAUCGAUCUUGUUUGUCUCAAGAUCUCGAGGUCGAAGAUCAACGCAUCAUUCUUGUCAACGUCGUCAUUAACCCAUUUACGUAUCCGCGUUGCUCUUAGCGCCGUGACGCGACAAUAUUCUUUGUCAUUGAUACUUAUUGUACUCGCGUUUUGCUAGACCUGUACGGUACUCACGACGAAUCAAAAUAUCUCAAUCAGAAUUUGAAGACUUUUGUACCCUGAGCAGAGACGCAACUUGAUAUCAGAAAGAGAAAAAGAACGCAAAAAAAGAAGAAAAGGAUUAGAUAGCGAGAUUUAAGUAAAAUCAUUAAUAAAAUUCGACCGAAGGUAAUAAGAUAAUACGCGCAAAGUGGUGAGAAAGAUGCUUGCGAUAAGGGAGAUCAUCAGAAGAGAAGAAUUUUUGAUGACAUGCAGAGAUAAGCGAAAGAGAAAGAAGUAAAGAGAAAGGAAAAGAAAACAAGGAGAAAAAUAUAAUAAAGACGUUGCUCAUUCAGAAAAUCGCGGAGGCGCCGAGCGGCCCGACAGCGUCCAAGAACAUCCACUGGGCGUUAAAACUUAGUACUCACUAAAAUGGUCAAGUGAAAGAGAGGAGAGGUUUAUGCGUGUGUGCAUGAGUAAAAGUGUGAGAGGAAGCAAAUAAACAAGAAUGAGAGAGGGAGAGAGAGAGAGAGAGAGAGAGAGAGAGAGAGAGAGAGAGAGAGAGAGAUUGAAAGAGAUAUAGAGGUUUGGGGGAGGGGGAAUAGAUAGAUAGAUAAGCGUUUUGUUAUAUGGUAAAGAAUGAAAUAACGGAGAGGGUGGAAGGAAGAGGAAGACGAGCGUGGCGUGAAGAAGUCAUAAAUUAGCAUUUAUAAUCAACGAUGAGGGGGAGAGAGAGCUGGUGGAUCUCCCAUCGCUAUCUCGAAUCAAUCUUCGCGUCGAGUACUCGCUAUUAGUCGAGUCAUGCCAUGGGCCUUAGUCAUUCGUCUUGACGCCUCCUCUACGAGGCUUACGUUCUCCAAGUUCAUAGCCCGUGAAACAUUCUUUUGGAAAUAUCCCUUUCGGUCGGAUGACGCUCGCGCCUGCACGCACAUCGCAGAUCUAAAUCCCACGACGUUGCUUUCGUCGAAGUCGUCUGUGAUCCUCGAGGAUUAUUGAUGUACUUAGAUAGAAGCUAAGAGAAUCGGGCAUCAUCGGAACACCUGGUAAUUUAGUGCGAGUCGACUUUACUAAUAUAAAAAGAAAUUGUUGUAAGUAGAAUAUAAAGUGCAAAGCGCCUUUUACGGCGUAAAAUCACGAAGGAAACUUAUGAGCUCGCACGUAAUAAAUUUAUCUCCUUCGCAUUCGUGCGGUGGUAUUUUUAACAGCAACAUUUUUGCGUUUAGCGUGUUUACCUGUAUUGUCGUACUAGAAUUACAGCGGCAAUUUCGAUGUUUCAUCUGACGCGACGACGAUCGUCUUCGAGAAAAGCCUCGAGGAAGAAAAGCAGCGAGCGGCGAAACUCCACAUGUGACGUUCAACUUGGAUGACAAUACCGUGCGAUAUCAUAUAUACAGCCAAUAUUAUGUAUCUUGUAAAUACGAUAUUUUUACCUUGAGUUACUUAAGAGCGUACGUGACGAGACUACUCGAGAGUGCGAUGCAACGUCUUCUUUGUAUGCAACGUCUUUUUGUGUGCCAUUGCGCGUCACAUCAUCGCGUCACGAUUAAUUCCGCGGCAAUCACGGGAUCGGUCGACUGAUCAAUUGAUAGGAAUACUCGGGAUGACAGCUGACUCGAGAUGAUGAUUCCGGGACGAGAUGUCCGGAGAAAUCACGCUGCGUAAAGUAAGUCGCGUUAUCUUGCAUUGACAAGGGAAUUUCACGAACCUGGAAAUUCACGUACCUUCGGAUUUUAUUAAAAUUUUGAAUAUAUUAUGUAGAUAAAAAUUAGAUGAAUUUGGAAAUUUUUCUGUUAAAAAACAGGGGUAAAAUGAUCUUCUCUAUA
Molecule: RNA transcript, 3362 nt
Organism: Atta colombica
Lineage: Eukaryota; Metazoa; Arthropoda; Insecta; Hymenoptera; Formicidae
Gene: svp
Gene name: steroid receptor seven-up, isoforms B/C
Exons: 5
Source: RefSeq, a predicted model, not a curated record